UUCCUACGGGAGGCAGCAGUGGGGAAUAUUGCACAAUGGGCGAAAGCCUGAUGCAGCAACGCCGCUUGAGGGACGACGGCCUUCGGGUUGUAAACCUCUUUUAGCAGGGAGAAGCGAAAGUGACGGUACCUGCAGAAAAAGCGCCGGCNAACUACGUGCCAGCAGCCGCGGUAAUACGUAGGGCGCAAGCGUUAUCCGGAAUUAUUGGGCGUAAAGAGCUCGUAGGCGGUUUGUCGCGUCUGCUGUGAAACCCCGAGGCUCAACCUCGGGCCUGCAGUGGGUACGGGCAGACUAGAGUGCGGUAGAGGAGAUUGGAAUUCCUGGUGUAGCGGUGGAAUGCGCAGAUAUCAGGAGGAACACCGAUGGCGAAGGCAGAUCUCUGGGCCGUAACUGACGCUGAGGAGCGAAAGGGUGGGGAGCAAACAGGCUUAGAUACCCUGGUAGUCCACCCCGUAAACGUUGGGAACUAGUUGUGGGGUCCAUUCCACGGAUUCCGUGACGCAGCUAACGCAUUAAGUUCCCCGCCUGGGGAGUACGGCCGCAAGGCUAAAACUCAAAGGAAUUGACGGGGACCCGCACAAGCGGCGGAGCAUGCGGAUUAAUUCGAUGCAACGCGAAGAACCUUACCAAGGCUUGACAUAUACGAGAACGGGCCAGAAAUGGUCAACUCUUUGGACACUCGUAAACAGGUGGUGCAUGGNUGUCGUCAGCUCGUGUCGUGAGAUGUUGGGUUAAGUCCCGCAACGAGCGCAACCCUCGUUCUAUGUUGCCAGCACGUCAUGGUGGGAACUCAUGGAAUACUGCCGGGGUCAACUCGGAGGAAGGUGAGGAUGACGUCAAAUCAUCAUGCCCCUUAUGUCUUGGGCUUCACGCNUGCUACAAUGGCCGGUACAAUGGGCUGCAAUACCGCAAGGUGGAGCGAAUCCCAAAAAGCCGGUCCCAGUUCGGAUUGAGGUCUGCAACUCGACCUCAUGAAGUCGGAGUCGCUAGUAAUCGCAGAUCAGCAACGCUGCGGUGAAUACGUUCCCGGGUCUUGUACACACCGCCCGUCAAGUCAUGAAAGUCGGUAACACCUGAAGCCGGUGGCCCAACCC
This 1094-nucleotide ribosomal RNA is filed under the name Microbacterium lacticum. RNAcentral's name for it is "bacterial SSU rRNA". It matches the Rfam family "Bacterial small subunit ribosomal RNA", at positions 336 to 1441 of the family's 1533-position model. The record is from RNAcentral. Lineage: Bacteria; Bacillati; Actinomycetota; Actinomycetes; Micrococcales; Microbacteriaceae.